This 329-nucleotide ribosomal RNA is filed under the name uncultured bacterium. RNAcentral's name for it is "bacterial SSU rRNA". It matches the Rfam family "Bacterial small subunit ribosomal RNA", at positions 28 to 334 of the family's 1533-position model. The record is from RNAcentral.
GACGAACGCUGGCGGCGCGCCUAACACAUGCAAGUCGAACGGAGAUAAGGAGGAGCUUGCUCCACCUUAUCUGAGUGGCGGACGGGUGAGUAACGCGUGAGUAACCUGCCUUAAGGAUGGGGACAACAGUUCGAAAGGACUGCUAAUACCGAAUGUUGUAGAGUUUCCGCAUGGGAAUCCUACUAAAGGUGGCCUCUACUUGUAAGCUAUCGCUUUACGAUGGGUCUGCGUCUGAUUAGCUAGUUGGUGGGGUAACGGCCUACCAAGGCGACGAUCAGUAGCCGGUCUGAGAGGAUGAACGGCCACAUUGGAACUGAGACACGGUCCAG